AACAUUAACCUAGGAGCAAAAAGGGGCAAAACUCACCUCAAGAGUAGAAAUCUCUUCCAAAGCUCCAAAAGAGAGCUAGAACCCUUCCAAUCCAAGCCCAAGGAAGGUUCUAAUCCAAUCAAUCUAGCCCCAAAAGUCCUAGAUCAAAAAGCCCCAAAAUCAACCCUAAAUCCUCAUUCUAGGGUUCCAAUACAAUAAAACCUCAAAUCCAAGGUCUAGAUGGAGAGAAAGGGCUACCAACCUCAAAGAAGCUUCAAUCCAAGCUCAAAGGGUGAAGAUCUUCUCCUUUGCAAGCUCUAAGU
RNAcentral lists this long non-coding RNA (302 nucleotides) under Ananas comosus (pineapple). RNAcentral's name for it is "long non-coding RNA (ACOM_LNC034920)". Lineage: Eukaryota; Viridiplantae; Streptophyta; Magnoliopsida; Poales; Bromeliaceae. The record is from RNAcentral.